Equus caballus (horse) is the source of this 5023-nucleotide long non-coding RNA. The record is from Ensembl. Lineage: Eukaryota; Metazoa; Chordata; Mammalia; Perissodactyla; Equidae.
UGAGCCCUCUGAUUUCGGCUGAAAUCCUAGGGGCUGGAGCCCUGCUGGGCGGGUGGGGGAAGGGUGCUUUCUUCUGCGUGUUCUCGGGGCUUUCUCCCUCUGCUCUCCUGGGGUGUUGGCUUGAAGAGGUCAUCCGCUGUGAAAGCUUUCAGCUCAAUAGAGGGCUUCCCUCUAGGCUGCGAGGGCCCUAGGCAGUCCUUUAAGUUCCCCUGAAUGGCCAUCCCCUCCCCCAUUCCUUCCCUCUCAGAGGAUUUCUGGGGUCCCCAUUGCAGUCUUUAGGGGAGGGAGCAAAGAUUUCUCUUACCCGGUUCCAGCUCCUCUGAGGGGGGCUGCAGCCUCUCUACUCUCCAUCAUAUGGCUGCGUGGAUCUCUCUGACAUUUAUUGUGUUGAGUUUGGAUGUCCUCUCUUGGAGUAUGGGAUUUUUUUCGUUGUAUAUGGGAGGAAGAAGAUUUCUCAGUGACCUUCACUGCCGUGAUGCUGACGUCACUCCCAAACAUUCCAGUUUUUAAUUUCUUUUUUUCUGUAGCUUUUUAAAUGUUAUCAAUUUUUUUCCAGUUAUUUUAUGGAGAUCAUAUUGAUUUAUAACAUUGCAUAAUUUCAGGCAUACAUUAUUAUAUAUAUUAGUUUCUGUAUAGACAGCACCAUGCUUGCCACCAAUAUUCUAGUUUUUAUCCAUCAUUAUAUAUAUGUGCCCAUUUACCCCUUUGGCAACACCCCCACCUUCUUCCCCUCUGGUCACCACUAAUCUGUUCUCUAUAUUCGUGUGUUUGUUUAUCUUCCACAUAUGAGUGAAGGCAUAUGGUGUUCAUCUUUCUCUGUCUGGCUUAUGUCACUUAACAUAAUGCCCUCAAAGUCCAUCCAUGUUGUUGCAAAUGGGACGAUUUUGUCUUUUUUGUAGAGCUGAGUACUAUUCCAUUGUAUAUACCAUGUCUUCUUUAUCCAUUUGUCACUUGAUGGGCACUUGGAUUGCUUCCAUAUCUUGAUUAUUAUGAAUAACACUGCAGUGAAGAAAGGGGUGCAUAAAUCUCCUUGGGUUGUUUUUUUCAGGUUCUUUGCAUAAAGACCCAGUACUGGAUGGCUGGGUUGUAUGGUGUUUCUACUUUUAAUUCUUUGAGAAAUCUCCAUACUGUUCUCCAUCGGGGCAUUCCCGUAGUGUGUGGGUUCCCCUCUCCCCACACCCUCCUCAACAUUUUCUAUUUUUUGUCUUGGUAAUUAUAGGCAUUCUGAUAGGUGUUUGGUGAUAUCUCGUUGUAGUUUUAUUUUGCAUUUCCCUAAUAAUUAGUGAUGUUAAACAUCUUUCAUGUGCCUGUUGGCCAUCUGUAUAAUUUCUUUGGAAAAAUGUCUGUUCAUGUCCUCUGGCCCAUUUUUUGAUCAGGUUGUUUGAUUUUUUGUCAUUGAGUUGUAUGAGUUAUUUGUAUAUUUUGGAAAUUAACCCCUUGUCAGAUAUAUGAUUUGCAAAUAUUUUCUCCCAGUUGGUGGGUUGUCUUUUCGUUUUGUUCAUAGUUUCCUUUCACUUGCAGAAGAUUUUUACUCUGAUGUAGUCUCAUUUGUUUAUUUUUUCUUUUGUUUUCCUUGCAUGAGUAGACAUGGUAUUUGAAAAGAUGCUGCUAAGACAGAUGUCAAAGAAUGUACUACCUAUAGUUUCUUCUGGGAGUUUCAUGGUUUCAAGUCUUACGUUUAAGUCUUUAACCCACUUUGAAUUAAUUUUUGUGUAUGCUGUAAGAUCAUAGUCUACUUUCAUUCUUUUGCAAGUGGCUGUCCAGUUGUCCAACAUGAUUUAUUGAAGAGACUUUCCUUUCUCCAUUGUGUGUUCUCAGUUCCUUUGAGGAUUAACUGACAAUAGAUGUGUGGUUUUAUUUCUGGGCUUUUGAUUUUAUUCUAUUGAACUGUGUGUCUGUUUUUGUACCAGGAUCAUGCUGUUUUAAUUACUAUAGCUCUGUAGUAUAUUUUUAAGUCAAGGAUUGUGAUGCCUCCAGGUUUGUUAUUUUUCCUCAGGCUUGCUUUGGCUAUUCGGGGUCUUUUGUUGUUCCAUACAAAUUUUAGGAUUCUUUGUUCUAUUUCUGUGAACAAUGUCAUUGGGAUUGGGAUUGCAUUGAAUCUGUAGAUUGCUUUAGGAAGUAAGGACAUUUUAACUACGUUUAUGCUUCCAACCCAUGAGCAUGGAAUGUCUUUCCAUUCCUUUAUAUCUUUUUUGAUUUCUUUCAAUAAUGUCUUUAGUUUUCAAUGUAUAGGUCUUUCACCUCUUUGGUUAGAUUUAUUCCUAGAUAUUUUAUUCUUUUUGUUACAAUUCUAAAUGGGAUUAUAUUCUUGAUUUCUCUUUCUGCUACUGCAUUAUUAGUGUAUAGAAAUGCAGCUGAUUUUUGUAACUUGAUUUUGUACCCUCCAACUUUGCUGUAGUUGUUGAUUGUUUCCAAUAGUUUUCUGAUGGAUUCUUUAGAUGUUCUAUAUAUAGAAUAAUGUUGUCUACAAACAGGAUUCCUUUUAUUUCUUUUUCUUGCCUAAUGGCUCUGACCAAAUAUCUAGUAGUAUGAUGAAUAGGAGUGGUGAGAGUGGGCACCCUUGUCUUGUUUCUGUUCUCAGGGUCAUGGCUUUUGGUGUUUCACCAUUAAGUAUGAUGUUGGCUGUGGGCUUGUCAUAUAUGGCUCUUAUUUUGUUGAGGUAUUUUCCUUCUAUACCCAUUUUAUUGAGAGUUCUUUUCAUAAAUGGAUGUUGGAUCUUAUCAAAUGCUUUCUCUGCAUCUAUUGAGAUGAUCAUGUGAUUUUUAUUCCUCCUUUUUUUUAAUGUGGAGUAUCACAUUGAUUCAUGGAUGUUGAAUCAUCCCUGCCUCCCUGGAAUAUAUCCAACUUGAUCAUGGUGUAUGAUCCUUUUAACGUAUUGAUAUUUUCAGUUUGCCAAUAGUUUGUUGAGGAUUUUUGCAUCUAUGUUCAUCAGUGAUAUUGGCCUGUAAUUUUCCUUUUUUGUGCUAUCCUUGCCUGAUUUUGGUAUCAGAGUGACGUUGGCCUCAUAGAAUGCAUUAGGAAGUGUUCCGUGUUCUUCAAUUUUUUGGAUAGUUAGAGAAGGAUAGGUGUUAGAUCUUCUUUGAAUCUUUCGUGGAAUUCUCCAGAGAAGCCAUCUGGUCCUGGGCUUUUGUAUUUUGGGAGAUUUUUGAUUACUGUUUCAAUCUAUUGACUUGUCAUUGGUCUAUUCAGAUUCUUUAUUUCUUCUUGAUUCAGUUUUGGUAGGUUAUAUGAGUCUAAAAAUUUAUCCAUUUCUUCUAGGUUCUCCAAUUUGUUGGCAUAUAGUUUUUCAUAGUAUUCUCUUAUAGUCUCUUGUACUUCUGCAAAAUUCACUUUAAUCUCUCUGUUCAUUUCUAAUUUUAUUUAUUUGAGCCUUCUCUCUUUUUUCUUAGCGAGUCUUGCUAAGGGUUUGUCAAUUUUAUUUAUCUUUUCAAAGAACAAGCUCUUGGUUUUGUUGAUUGUUUCUAUUGUUUUUUUUAGUCUCUAUUUCAUUUAUUUCUGCUCUGAUUUUUAUUAUUUUCUUCCUUCUAAUGAUUUUAGGCUUGCUUUGUUCUUCUUUUUCUAGUUACUUUUGGUGCACUGUUAGAUUGUUUAUUUGAGAUUUUUCUUGUUUGUUGAGGCAGGCGUGUAUUGCUAUAAACUUCCCUCUUAGAACCACUUUUGUUGAAUCCCAUAAAUUUGGCAUGUCAUAUUUUCAUUUUCUUUUGUCUCCAGGUAUUUUUUUAUUUCUCCUUUGAUUUCUUCAUUGACCCAAUCACUGUUCAGUGACAUCUUGUUUAAUCUCCACACACUCGUGGCCUUUCUGAUUUUCUCCCUAUAGCUGAUUUCUAGUUUCAUACCACUGUGGGCAGAAAAGAUGCUUGGUAUUAUUUCAAUCUUCUCAAAUUUAUUGAGACUUGUUUUGUGGCCUACUAUGUGAUCAAUCCUAGGGAAUGUUUCACGUGCAUUUGAAAAGAAUGUGUGUUCUGCUGUUUUUUGAUGGAAUGUGCUGUACACAUCUACUAAGUCCAUCUGGUCUAAUGUGUCAUUUAAGGCCAAUGUUUCCUUAUUGAUCUUUUGUUUGGAUGAUCUAUCCAUUGAUGUAAGUGGAGUUUUAAAGUCCCCUACUAUUAUUGUAUUACUGUCUAUUUCUCCUUUUAUGUCUGUUAAUAAUUGCUUUAUAUAUUUAGGUGCUCCUAUGUUGGAUGCAUAGAUAUUUCCAUGUUAUAUCCUCUUGUCGGAUUGUUCCCUCUCAUUGUGUAGUGCCCUUCUUUUGUCUGACCUGUUUUGCCUGAUAGACUUUUCUCUGUUUUGUCUAACUAUUGCUACCCCAACUUUCUUUUCAUUGCCAUUUGCAUGGAGUAUCUUUUUCCAUCCCUUCACUUUCAGUUUGUGAGUGUCUUUAGGUCUUAAGUGUGUCUCUUGUAUGUGGCAUAUAUAUGUGUCUUGGUUUUUUAUACAAUCGGCCACCUUAUGCCUUUUGAUUGGAACAUUUAGUCCAUUGACAUUUAAAGUAGCUAUUGAUAAGUACAUAUGUACUGCCAUUUUGUUACUUUUUUCUGGGUGUUUUAGUAGUUCCUCUCUUCUCUUACUCUCUUCACUUGUGUUUUGAUGGCUUUCUCUAGUAUUAUGUUUGGAUUCCUUUCUCUUAACUUUUUGUUUAUUUAUUAUAGGCUUCUGGUUUGUGAUCACCAUGAGGUUAAUAUCUAAUAACCUACAUAUAUAGCAAUCUAUAUUAAGGUGAUGGUCUCUUUAGUUUGACCUCUUUCUAAAAGUUCUACUCUUUUACUCCCCUCCUCCUACAUUUUAUGUUUUUGACAUCAUAUCUAGCCUCUUUUUGUGUGUGUUACUGUUACCCUCUUAUCUGUUACCCUCUUAUCACAGAAAUAGGUAGUUUUAGUAUUUUUGUCUUUUGACCUUCAUAUUAUCUUCAUAAGUGGUUGAUCUGCUACCUUUACUGUAUUUUUGCCAUUACUAGUGACUUUAUUGCUUUUUUUUGAAAAUUUUCUUAAUCCUAUUUAUGGUCUUCUCUUUCCCACUUAAAUAA